CACGUAGGGUGCAAGCGUUGUCCGGAAUUAUUGGGCGUAAAGAGCUCGUAGGCGGUUUGUUGCGUCGGCUGUGAAAGCCCGGGGCUUAACCCCGGGUCUGCAGUGGAUACGGGCAGGCUAGAGGUAGGUAGGGGAGAAUGGAAUUCCCGGUGUAGCGGUGAAAUGCGCAGAUAUCGGGAGGAACACCGGUGGCGAAGGCGGUUCUCUGGGCCUUACCUGACGCUGAGGAGCGAAAGCGUGGGGAGCAAACGGG
This 253-nucleotide ribosomal RNA is filed under the name uncultured bacterium. Its description in RNAcentral is "partial 16S ribosomal RNA". It matches the Rfam family "Bacterial small subunit ribosomal RNA", at positions 524 to 776 of the family's 1533-position model. The record is from RNAcentral.